This is a long non-coding RNA of Panonychus citri (citrus red mite), 1544 nucleotides long. RefSeq lists it as uncharacterized. Lineage: Eukaryota; Metazoa; Arthropoda; Arachnida; Trombidiformes; Tetranychidae. The record is from RefSeq and is a predicted model, not a curated record. The transcript is spliced from 3 exons.
CAAAAACCAUUUUCGUUACAAUGUUUUCCCAUUAAUUUGUGUACAUGAAGUUUAGGUGUUGAAUCAUUCGUAUAAAGACUGGCCUUAAUGUGGACUUGGUUCGAUGAUCGGUAAUUUUUAAGCUUUAAAAGAUAGGAUCCUAAUAAAGGGACACAAGGAAGACCCGAUUAAUAAGCCGACAAUCAAAUUUGAUGGAAGGAUAAUGAUGAUAAGAUAAUAGAGAUUAUCCAUCAAUUUAAAACAAUUAAAGAGAAGGUUAAAUCCGAAGUGAAAUUAAAAAGGAAUCAAAUGACUUGGGAUAAUAAUAAUGGUUAAAGAAAAAGCUGAACAAUUCAAGGAAGAAUAAGGUAAGAAAAUAUCAAGAGAUAAUAUUGACAGAUUGGUUUUUCUAUUCUAUUAGCUGAAUUAUAAUGAUUAUCAUCAUCAUCAUCAUCAUCAUCAUCAUCAUCAUCACCUUAAUGCUGGAAUAAGGGUGAUGGAUGGUUGAUUUAAUGUUGAAGGUAAAACAAAAAUUGUGACAAUUGACGUGAAUUCUACCUGUUUAUUUACGUCUAGUGUAACAUGUUUUUCAAUUUGAUUGUCCAUUUUUGAUUGUCAGGGCCUCCACUUCAUCUUAUAACAAUUUAACAAAUUUCUUCAUUCAAAAUGGCGAAUCAAAUUUCUUUUCUUAUAUAUUUAUAUUAAUAUAUUUUUCUUUCUCUCAAUUAGAUUAUAUAUUAAUUCUUGUCCUGUUUUUUUUUCUUCUCUUCAACAUUUUGGAUUCAACAAUUUUCAUUCCAUAUCCAAGUGACCUUAAUUGAAAAGGUCACACUUACCUUUCCUUUCAACAACAACAACAACAGUAACUUACCAACUACUAUUCAUACAAUUGAAAUAAUAACCACUUUCUCUCUAAUCCUAAUCAUCCACUAAUCAUUUCUUCAUCAACAUAAUAUAAAUAUAAACAUUUCUUUACAUGUAUUUUUAUAUUGUUGUUUUGGUAAGAAAGGACAAGGAAGUUUUCUCCUUUAAUUUAGAUUUACUUCUAGAUAAUCUUAACAAUUAACUUACAUUGGCUUCUAAACUUGGAUUUUCUAUUGGCUCACAAUCAUAUAAAUCCCGCUACUAUUACUAAUCCAACCAGAGUUUCCAAUAUUUUUAAGCUGAUAUGAUUUCUGUAUACACACCUUUAGUGAUUUAAUCAUUAACAUUCCUUGAUUCCAACGAUUCUCAUGUCAUUACCUGAGGAUCAUUAUCAUCAUUUUUUUUGACAAUCAGUGUUUGACAUCACUGUAUCUCUUUCUCGCUCUCUCAAUGCUUUGAGUUACAGAGGGAUUAUUGUAAGUUACAGUUUCUAGAUAAUUAGUUAUCUAGUUAUUAGGAAAAUUAACUGACUGAUAGUGCAAAAUAAGGGCGACGGUAUAAAGACAAAAAAAAAGAAAUGGAGGGAGAAUCAUUGACAAAGGUAAUGACGAUAGAAAAAGACAGCGGAAGAGAGAGAGAGAGAGAAGGUUAGGUGAGAUCAAUUUGGUGAAGAGGAGGAAAAGAAAAUGUAAAAAAAAAGA